Molecule: ribosomal RNA, 446 nt
Filed under: uncultured bacterium
Lineage: Bacteria
Description: partial 16S ribosomal RNA
Rfam family: Bacterial small subunit ribosomal RNA
Source: RNAcentral
CCUACGGGUGGCAGCAGUCGAGAAUCAUUCACAAUGGGGGAAACCCUGAUGGUGCGACGCCGCGUGGGGGAAUGAAGGUCUUCGGAUUGUAAACCCCUGUCAUGUGGGAGCAAAUUAAAAAGAUAGUACCACAAGAGGAAGAGACGGCUAACUCGGUGCCAGCAGCCGCGGUAAUACAGAGGUCUCAAGCGUUGUUCGGAAUCACGGGGCGUAAAGCGUGCGUAGGCUGUUUCGUAAGUCGUGUGUGAAAGGCGCGGGCGCAACCCGCGGACGGCACAUGAUACUGCGAGACUAGAGUAAUGGAGGGGGUACCGGAAUUCUCGGUGUAGGAGUGAAAUGCGUAGAUAUCGAGAGGAACACUCGUGGCGAAGGCGAGUACCUGGACAUUAACUGACGCUGAGGAACGAAGGCCAGGGGAGCGAAAGGGAUUAGAUACCCGUGUAGUC